UGGGGAAUAUUGGACAAUGGGCGAAAGCCUGAUCCAGCCAUGCCGCGUGUGUGAAGAAGGUCUUCGGAUUGUAAAGCACUUUAAGUUGGGAGGAAGGGCAUUAACCUAAUACGUUAGUGUUUUGACGUUACCGACAGAAUAAGCACCGGCUAACUCUGUGCCAGCAGCAGCGGUAAUACAGAGGGUGCAAGCGUUAAUCGGAAUUACUGGGCGUAAAGCGCGCGUAGGUGGUUUGUUAAGUUGGAUGUGAAAUCCCCGGGCUCAACCUGGGAACUGCAUUCAAAACUGACUGACUAGAGUAUGGUAGAGGGUGGUGGAAUUUCCUGUGUAGCGGUGAAAUGCGUAGAUAUAGGAAGGAACACCAGUGGCGAAGGCGACCACCUGGACUAAUACUGACACUGAGGUGCGAAGGCGUGGGGAGCAAACA
Molecule: ribosomal RNA, 427 nt
Filed under: uncultured bacterium
Lineage: Bacteria
Description: partial 16S ribosomal RNA
Rfam family: Bacterial small subunit ribosomal RNA
Source: RNAcentral